CUCCGGGCAGUGGAACAGGGUAAGUUUCACUUUCCUGAGCUCAGAGAUAUGCCCCGCCUGCAGCAGCAAUUGGGUGUUUCCCUUCCUGGAACUGAUUCAGGCUGUUUGCUGAGCUGGAGCCAGAUCACAGCCACCAUUGAAUAAAUUCAACACCUCUGGAAACGAAGAGGAGAGUCAGCACCAUGCGUUCAGCCCCCUCUCCACUGAGCCCAGCUGAGGAAUUCCUGAUUGACAUGGCUAUAGCCUGCACAAGAGAGAGCACAGGCUGGAUAGCAGCAAAACCCCAGCUCCCAUUCCAGGGACAUGCAGUGAAGGCUGGGAGAAAUCAGCCUCCUCUUCAGGACAUCAGAGAAGAGGAUCCAGGGGUCCCUUCUGGUCUUUAAGUCUGUAAUUCUGUUGCUUCUCAGUUUUUCAAAUUAAAUUUUAGUGUGAAAUCUA
This is a long non-coding RNA of Chelonia mydas (Green sea turtle), 438 nucleotides long. RefSeq lists it as uncharacterized. The transcript is spliced from 3 exons. Lineage: Eukaryota; Metazoa; Chordata; Testudines; Cheloniidae. The record is from RefSeq and is a predicted model, not a curated record.